GUUCAAGCAGCCGCGGUAAUACGUAGGGGGCAAGCGUUGUCCGGAUUUACUGGGCGUAAAGAGCGUGUAGGCGGCCAGACAGGUCUGUUGUGAAAACUGGAGGCUUAACCUCCAGACGUCGACAGAAACCGUCUGGCUAGAGUCCGGAAGAGGAGAGUGGAAUUCCUGGUGUAGCGGUGAAAUGCGCAGAUAUCAGGAAGAACACCAAUGGCGAAGGCAGCUCUCUGGGACGGUACUGACGCUGAGACGCGAAAGCGUGGGGAGCGAACAGGAUUAGAAACCCUCGUAGUCC
RNAcentral lists this ribosomal RNA (292 nucleotides) under uncultured bacterium. RNAcentral describes it as "partial 16S ribosomal RNA". It matches the Rfam family "Bacterial small subunit ribosomal RNA", at positions 505 to 796 of the family's 1533-position model. The record is from RNAcentral.